RNAcentral lists this long non-coding RNA (1139 nucleotides) under Olea europaea (common olive). Its description in RNAcentral is "long non-coding RNA (OEUR_LNC003758)". Lineage: Eukaryota; Viridiplantae; Streptophyta; Magnoliopsida; Lamiales; Oleaceae. The record is from RNAcentral.
CAUCCUCAACUCUAUUAUACGCCUUUCAUUGAACAGGCUUCCUCCAUAAAAUUUCACUCACCGAAAUUGCUAACUUUCAGGGAAGAAAAUGAACCCUAAUCGAAAUUGAAACCCUAAAUCCCCCAAAUCUAAACCCUGAGCUCGAAAUCAAGGUCCUUCACGCCAUUGCUAAGUACUCAAACAGCCUGCGCAAGCAUGAAGAAGCAGCUCCCAUUCCGUUUCUGUAGUUCUCGCAAUUGAUGGACAACAUGAGGAUAAAUUUCAAGCUUAUGGGUUUUAAAGUUUUGGGCUUUGUAGUUGCUAUUCAUCUGACACAUAUGGGUUUUGUAGCUGCUAUUUUGGGUUUUGCAGUUGCUAUUCCCGUAUCUGAAAAUUUUGAAGUUGCUAUUCAUAUGACAUUUAUGGGUUUUACAAAUCUGAAAAAUAUUUAUUUACAUGGUUUCUUUUGGGAAUUGUAAUUGUACUCUUCCUCCCAACACUUAGAUUAAUUCACAGAAAUUCACAGAAUCCUGUGUCUCAUUUGAAUGACCUUCGUAACAUGAUUUAAUUGUUCAACCAGUUUGAUAUAGUUUGAUUCUGCUGGAGUUCUCGACUUGGAUACGGGGUUGAUCAGUUGAGUAGGGUUGAAUCAUUUGAUAACUAAUUAAUUCCCAAAAUAUAUACUAUAGUAGCAAAUAUAUAUAUUUUAAAGUUUGGCCACAGUUUGUUGUUCUCUAUUUGACGGUUUGCAUCCAUUCUUGUUAAUGUGGUUUAAUUGUAUGACAGAUUGUGAGUAAAUUCCUACUACUUCACACCUUUUACUUUGAUACCAAUGGUCUGGUUAUAGUAAUUUCCAACAAGACCGUUUCAAGGAGAACUAAGAAUCAAUUGAAUCACAGAGCUACUGUGUAGUUAAUGAACAAGAGUCUGUAGUAUUUCACCCCUGAAUGCACUCAAGAUGCAUUUCUUGAUUUGCUUCUUCCUAGCCUCCCUAUCUUUAGUAAAUUUUUUCUUACUCAAAAAUUUUCUCUAGUUUCUUCAAAUUGCUGUUGGUGUUCAGUUAGAGUGUAUUUGAAUGACAUGGAAAAUAUUAUCUAUAAAAGAAAAUAUUUUCCAUCUUUUGUGGAAAAUAAAAACCACAUCUACCCAAAGAAAAUAUU